GACGAACGCUGGCGGCGUGCCUAAUACAUGCAAGUAGAACGCUGAAGAGAGGAGCUUGCUCUUCUUGGAUGAGUUGCGAACGGGAGAGUAACGCGUAGGUAACCUGCCUUGUAGCGGGGGGUAACUAUUGGAAACGAUAUCUAAUACCGCAUAACAAUGGAUGACAGAUUGCAUUUAUGUGAAAGUGGCAAUUGCUCCACUACAAGAUGGACCUGCGUUGUAUUAGCUAGUAGGUCAGCUAAGGGCUAACCUAGGGGAGGAUACAUAGCCGACCUGAGAGGGUGAGAUGCAAAACUGGGAUGGGAGGACGGCCCAGAAUACUACGAGUGGCAGCAGGAGCAGACCUUCAGGAAUGGGGGCAAUCGUGACCGAGCAACGCCGCGUGAGAGAAGAAGGUAUCCGGGUCGUAAAGCUCUGUAGGAAGUCAAGAACGGAUGUGAGUGUGGAACGUGCAGACAGUGACGGUAGCGUACCAGAAAGCGACGGCUAACUACGUG
RNAcentral lists this ribosomal RNA (497 nucleotides) under uncultured bacterium. Its description in RNAcentral is "partial 16S ribosomal RNA". It matches the Rfam family "Bacterial small subunit ribosomal RNA", at positions 28 to 507 of the family's 1533-position model. The record is from RNAcentral.